CACGACGACUUUGACAAAACUAGCGAUUCGAGGAGAGCCUUACCUCUCGAUGACGGCAAAGAUGAGACAAUAUCAAGUUUGAGCGAUAUCCACAUGGGCGUUUAAACUCUCACAAACACCAUGGAUUCAACUCAUUGAAGACUUCUUCAACUUGACACCAAAUAUCACAAACGUAUCUCAAGAUUGAACCCCAAGGAGUUGAUACCACUGCAACAAACCCAUGAAACUACCAA
Solanum verrucosum is the source of this 233-nucleotide long non-coding RNA. RefSeq lists it as uncharacterized. Lineage: Eukaryota; Viridiplantae; Streptophyta; Magnoliopsida; Solanales; Solanaceae. The record is from RefSeq and is a predicted model, not a curated record. The transcript has 2 exons.